AUUGAACGCUGGCGGCAUGCCUUACACAUGCAAGUCGAACGGCAGCAUGGAGAGCUUGCUCUCUGAUGGCGAGUGGCGAACGGGUGAGUAAUGCAUCGGAACGUACCGUGUAAUGGGGGAUAACGUAGCGAAAGCUACGCUAAUACCGCAUACGACCUGAGGGUGAAAGCAGGGGAUCGCAAGACCUUGCGUUAUACGAGCGGCCGAUGUCAGAUUAGCUAGUUGGCGAGGUAAAGGCUCACCAAGGCGACGAUCUGUAGCGGGUCUGAGAGGAUGAUCCGCCACACUGGGACUGAGACACGGCCCAGACUCCUACGGGAGGCAGCAGUGGGGAAUUUCGGACAAUGGGGGCAACCCUGAUCCAGCCAUGCCGCGUGAGUGAAGAAGGCCUUCGGGUUGUAAAGCUCUUUCGGCCGGGAAGAAAUCGCACAGGCUAAUACUCUGUGUGGAUGACGGUACCGGCAUAAGAAGCACCGGCUAACUACGUGCCAGCCGCCGCGGUAA
This 504-nucleotide ribosomal RNA is filed under the name uncultured bacterium. RNAcentral's name for it is "partial 16S ribosomal RNA". It matches the Rfam family "Bacterial small subunit ribosomal RNA", at positions 30 to 523 of the family's 1533-position model. The record is from RNAcentral.